GCUUUAUUGAAGUCCCUGGGUGGCCACCAUUUCGGUACUUUUUUACACGUGGCCUUGGCCAUCUUAAUUCCCGAACAGCGGUGUUUUGCCUUCGAGUGUCUGGAACUAAAAUCAGACACUCGAGUAGGCGAACACCGCUGAAACCUCCAGACUACCAGAAAUCUGUGCCAAAACUACCGGACGCCCCGCCGUUCGGUAGAAAGACUACUUAACACAUGGGGAUUCUAGCGAACACGAGAUAUGCACGGAUGGCAAGCCUUUCGGGACUUUUUACCCACGAACAAGAAGACUUUAAAGUGCCAUAUCCCCUGAACCCCUGAAUUGAAUGAGAUGAUUUUUAAAUAUGUUGUUCCCCCAGAAUAGGGCUAUAUUUAUUUGGGGUACACAGAUAUUUGGGGUACAUCCAAAACUUGGGGAAAAAUUUAACUUUGUUAAUUGUGUUACAGGCUUAUCUGAGGGGAGGAGAUGUGUGGGAUGUACCUUAUGUUUUAUUGGUUGUUGUGUUAAUUAUGUGGGUGUCUCCCUUGCAUGGGCAGCAUCAUAUAAAAGGAGAGUACCUGCCAUUAAAAUUCAGUUCUUCUUGACCCUUCAAAACGUGGCC
Pelobates cultripes (western spadefoot toad) is the source of this 601-nucleotide non-coding RNA. The record is from the annotation of a GenBank genome assembly. Lineage: Eukaryota; Metazoa; Chordata; Amphibia; Anura; Pelobatidae.